UACAGAGGGUGCAAGCGUUAAUCGGAAUUACUGGGCGUAAAGCGCACGUAGGCGGUCAUGACAGUCAGAUGUGAAAUCCCCGGGCUUAACCUGGGCACUGCAUUUGAUACUACAUGACUAGAGUAGAGUAGAGGAAAGCGGAAUUUCAGGUGUAGCGGUGAAAUGCGUAGAGAUCUGAAGGAACACCAGUGGCGAAGGCGGCUUUCUGGAUUCAUACUGACGCUGAGGUGCGAAAGCGUGGGGAGCAAACAGG
Molecule: ribosomal RNA, 253 nt
Filed under: uncultured bacterium
Lineage: Bacteria
Description: partial 16S ribosomal RNA
Rfam family: Bacterial small subunit ribosomal RNA
Source: RNAcentral